GACGAACGCUGGCGGCGUGCUUAACACAUGCAAGUCGAACGGAAAGGCCCUGCUUUUGUGGGGUGCUCGAGUGGCGAACGGGUGAGUAACACGUGAGUAACCUGCCCUUGACUUUGGGAUAACUUCAGGAAACUGGAGCUAAUACCGGAUAGGAGCUCCUGCUGCAUGGUGGGGGUUGGAAAGUUUCGGCGGUUGGGGAUGGACUCGCGGCUUAUCAGCUUGUUGGUGGGGUAGUGGCUUACCAAGGCUUUGACGGGUAGCCGGCCUGAGAGGGUGACCGGCCACAUUGGGACUGAGAUACGGCGCAGACUCCUACGGGAGGCAGCAGUGGGGAAUAUUGCACAAUGGGCGGAAGCCUGAUGCAGCAGCGCCGCGUGCGGGAUGACGGGCUUCGGGUUGUAAACCGCUUUCGCCUGUGACGAAGCGUGAGUGACGGUAAUGGGUAAAGAAGCACCGGCUAACUACGUG
Molecule: ribosomal RNA, 468 nt
Filed under: uncultured bacterium
Lineage: Bacteria
Description: partial 16S ribosomal RNA
Rfam family: Bacterial small subunit ribosomal RNA
Source: RNAcentral